This 1635-nucleotide ribosomal RNA is filed under the name Agromyces ramosus. Its description in RNAcentral is "bacterial SSU rRNA". It matches the Rfam family "Bacterial small subunit ribosomal RNA". Lineage: Bacteria; Bacillati; Actinomycetota; Actinomycetes; Micrococcales; Microbacteriaceae. The record is from RNAcentral.
UUUGGUGGGGGUGGGAUUCCUUUGGAUUGAUGGACAGUCAGUAAUGAUUGUUCUCGGUCAGAGAUUCAACUCUUGGCCUGCCCUUUUGGGGUGGGUUGAACCAGUUUUUUUGGAGAGUUUGAUCCUGGCUCAGGACGAACGCUGGCGGCGUGCUUAACACAUGCAAGUCGAACGAUGAUCUGGCAGCUUGCUGCUGGGGAUUAGUGGCGAACGGGUGAGUAACACGUGAGUAACCUGCCCUGGACUCUGGGAUAACCCCGAGAAAUCGGAGCUAAUACCGGAUAGGACCUGGAACCGCAUGGUUUUGGGUGGAAAGUUUUUCGGUCUGGGAUGGACUCGCGGCCUAUCAGCUUGUUGGUGAGGUAAUGGCUCACCAAGGCGUCGACGGGUAGCCGGCCUGAGAGGGUGACCGGCCACACUGGGACUGAGACACGGCCCAGACUCCUACGGGAGGCAGCAGUGGGGAAUAUUGCACAAUGGGCGCAAGCCUGAUGCAGCAACGCCGCGUGAGGGAUGACGGCCUUCGGGUUGUAAACCUCUUUUAGUAGGGAAGAAGGGCUUCGGCUUGACGGUACCUGCAGAAAAAGCACCGGCUAACUACGUGCCAGCAGCCGCGGUAAUACGUAGGGUGCGAGCGUUGUCCGGAAUUAUUGGGCGUAAAGAGCUCGUAGGCGGUUUGUCACGUCUGCUGUGAAAUCCCGAGGCUCAACCUCGGGCCUGCAGUGGGUACGGGCAGACUGGAGUGCGGUAGGGGAGAAUGGAAUUCCUGGUGUAGCGGUGGAAUGCGCAGAUAUCAGGAGGAACACCGAUGGCGAAGGCAGUUCUCUGGGCCGUAACUGACGCUGAGGAGCGAAAGCGUGGGGAGCGAACAGGAUUAGAUACCCUGGUAGUCCACGCCGUAAACGUUGGGCGCUAGAUGUGGGGACCUUUCCACGGUUUCCGUGUCGUAGCUAACGCAUUAAGCGCCCCGCCUGGGGAGUACGGCCGCAAGGCUAAAACUCAAAGGAAUUGACGGGGGCCCGCACAAGCGGCGGAGCAUGCGGAUUAAUUCGAUGCAACGCGAAGAACCUUACCAAGGCUUGACAUAACCGAGAACGCCGCAGAAAUGUGGAACUCUUUGGACACUCGGUUACAGGUGGUGCAUGGUUGUCGUCAGCUCGUGUCGUGAGAUGUUGGGUUAAGUCCCGCAACGAGCGCAACCCUCGUCGUAUGUUGCCAGCACGUCAUGGUGGGAACUCAUAUGAGACUGCCGGGGUCAACUCGGAGGAAGGUGGGGAUGACGUCAAAUCAUCAUGCCCCUUAUGUCUUGGGCUUCACGCAUGCUACAAUGGCCGGUACAAAGGGCUGCGAUGUCGUAAGGCGGAGCGAAUCCCAAAAAGCCGGUCUCAGUUCGGAUUGAGGUCUGCAACUCGACCUCAUGAAGUCGGAGUCGCUAGUAAUCGCAGAUCAGCAACGCUGCGGUGAAUACGUUCCCGGGCCUUGUACACACCGCCCGUCAAGUCAUGAAAGUCGGUAACACCCGAAGCCGGUGGCCUAACCCUUGUGGAGGGAGCCGUCGAAGGUGGGAUCGGUGAUUAGGACUAAGUCGUAACAAGGUAGCCGUACCGGAAGGUGCGGCUGGAUCACCUCCUUUCU